UACAGAGGGGGCAAGCGUUGUUCGGAAUUACUGGGCGUAAAGGGCGCGUAGGCGGCCUUCUAAGUCGAACGUGAAAUCCCCGGGCUCAACCCGGGAACUGCGUCCGAUACUGGAAGGCUUGAAUUCGGGAGAGGAUAGCGGAAUUCCCAGUGUAGAGGUGAAAUUCGUAGAUAUUGGGAAGAACACCGGUGGCGAAGGCGGCUAUCUGGACCGACAUUGACGCUGAGGCGCGAAAGCGUGGGGAGCAAACAGG
Molecule: ribosomal RNA, 253 nt
Filed under: uncultured bacterium
Lineage: Bacteria
Description: partial 16S ribosomal RNA
Rfam family: Bacterial small subunit ribosomal RNA
Source: RNAcentral